CCUUAGACUACUUCUCAAACCUCAGUCCACGUCAGAAUCACCAAAGGGCCUGAUGCAUCCCAGAUUCCAGUCCCUUCUCUCCAUCCCAGACAUUCUGCUGAGGCAACUACCACAUUUAAGUGGACAAGUUCAUCAUUAAUAUUUAACUCAUGAGGCCUCUCUUGGAUCAGCUUUUCUUCACUGAUCAUUCAUCUUUGAGGUUUGGUUUCUACUCCCGUGCUCUCGAAAUGUCAGCCAACACUGCAAAUGGCAGUCACCUAUUCUGGUCACCACCUGCU
This 278-nucleotide long non-coding RNA is filed under the name Homo sapiens (human). RNAcentral describes it as "HSALNT0395076". Lineage: Eukaryota; Metazoa; Chordata; Mammalia; Primates; Hominidae. The record is from RNAcentral.